This 185-nucleotide non-coding RNA is filed under the name Bacillota bacterium. RNAcentral describes it as "6S RNA". It matches the Rfam family "6S / SsrS RNA". Rfam says of the family: E. coli 6S RNA was the first non coding RNA to be sequenced, but its function was unknown until recently. It consists of 184 nucleotides that fold into an extended hairpin structure with a large single-stranded internal bulge. Lineage: Bacteria; Bacillati; Bacillota. The record is from RNAcentral.
GAAAGACUGCUUUGUUCGCGGUCAACUGGGUGUGCUUUUGAACCGAUACAUGAACCCUGGGAGACUUUCUCUCGGGCAAGGGAGUACGCCCCGCCCGCAGGGGACACGAACGAGUCCGAGGGGUCACCCCCCUGUUUAGGAGAAGGGUUCAAGUCCACCCGAUCCAGCGGCAAAGCGGUUUUUCG